AUGAUGUCACUGAGAACUGCCGUAGACUACCUGCUGUACAGAUUUCCUUACAUUGACCAGAUUUGAGGGUGACACUUUCAGAAGAGUCUCCUGUUUAAGAGUGGAAACCUUUACAUACUAAAUCUCUCUAAAGGACCUUUUAUACUUGACAAAAAGAGUGAAGGUCAUGAUGCCUAAUGAUGAUGUCACUGAAAACUCUCAUGGACUACCUGAUGAACAACUUUCCUUACAUUGACAAGAUUCAAGUUUGCACUUUAAAGGCUCCACCAAGGGACGACUGACACUGAAGCAGACGCGCACGGUCAAAUAUCAAAUGGAGCUCAGUGAGUCUCACUGAAGAGCUGAGGGAAGGACUGAGAGAGGCAGAGGAGCACAAUGGUCACCACGUGGGCUCACUAAACCCGUUGCCUGUCUGUGGAUCCUGUUCUCCUACCCGGGCUGCGUUUUCAGGACCUGCUGGGAGACAAUGAAUCUAGUCUUGCAUAGACUUGAUGUGCCCGGGGUGGAGAUGUAUCCAGAGUGGUCCUCUGUUCAUUCAGUGUAGAAUGGGACAGGAUAGGAGGAGGUACUAUAAAUGGUGGGUGCCUGGAGGAGUGUGGUUGACAGGGCAGCAUUCAGAAUUUUACAUGGUGAAUAUGUACAAACACUUUAGCAAGGGGCAAAGGCAUGACAUCAUGGGGACGGGGGCAUGGCAUCAUGAGGGUUUGGCAUGACAUCAUAGGUUUGGGGCAUGAUAUCAUAGGGGUGGGUGAAUGACAUCAUUGUGGUCGAGGCAUGAUAUCAUGAAGCUUAAGAGAAAAUAGAUGAAACUAGGAAAAAAAUCAGCCCAAGAGGGAACUGAGACCUAGAGACACUAACAUGGAAGGCCUUUACCUAUGCAUAGUAUCAGCUGUGAGAUUAAUCAUAUUAUAUCUACAAUCCACAAAUGCAGAGAGAACAAAGGAAAGGAGAAGGCCCGUGAGGGGAAAAGCAUAGACCUAUCUGAAAGGAAAACUGGAACAGAUUAUGUGAGUGAGUGACGGCGACUGAGGACAGAAGCGGAGGGUCAGCGGGGAAGAUGGAGGGAAAGCGCGGUGCAGAGAGAAACAGCCAGAAAUAGGGAACAUACGAGUUAAUGUGGAAACUCGAUGAAAACACUGAUUAAUUCAUGGUGUCUAGAGGGCCACGUUCCUGAGGAUUUAAUCUGACAGAGAAUGCAGAGUACGAACCUGCAAUCCUUUGAAAUCGAGCAAGUAGGACUUCAGGGUCGGGGAUGGGGCACAUUCAGUGGAGUCAAUUUCUGAGGAGGUAAAAUGGAGAUCCCUGAACAACAGACUGAUGCUGGGAAAGAGAUUAUAAAGAUAUAGCAAAUGAGGGAUUCCUGGUACCUUAAACCUGCAACUGAUGUAAAUGCACAGGAAAACCCUUCCUGCACUCUAAGGUUUUUUUAGCCAUUGUUCACCCUGAGAAAUUAUACAAACAAUGAUAGUGUGUCCCUGAAUACCUUCUAACAGAGCUGUGACACUGAAAUCCUUGGAAGAAACCAUAAUUCACUUUCACGCAGACCAAUCUUCUGCUGGCUGAAUGUUUCUUGGGUCCACUCCAUCCUUUCACACCUGUUGUGCACCUGGACACUCUAGGAAGGAGACAAGAGAUGAGUGUAUGUCUGUGUGUGUGUGUGUGUGUGUGUGUGUGUGUGUUUGUGUGUGUGUGUGUGUGUGUAUCUGUAUAUUGGUUAUCGUCUGUGUGUCUGUAUUUGUGUAUAUGUGUGUGUAUGUGUGUGUGUGUCUCUGUGUGUGUCUGUAUGUGUUUUUGUGUCUCUCCGUGUGUGUAUAUGAGUAUGUGUCUGUGUGUUUGUGUAUGUGUGUGUGUCUGUGUCUGUGUGUUUGUCUGUGUCUGUCUGUGUCUGUGUGUAUGUCAGUUUGUCUGUCUAUGUCUCUUUCUGUGUUUCUCUGUGUAUCUGUGUGUGUUGCAUGUGUGUGUGUGUGUUUGUGUGUGUGUGUGUGUG
This is a non-coding RNA of Rattus norvegicus (Norway rat), 1987 nucleotides long. NCBI's taxonomy places the organism in Eukaryota, Metazoa, Chordata, Mammalia, Rodentia, Muridae. The record is from RefSeq and is a predicted model, not a curated record.